This 400-nucleotide long non-coding RNA is filed under the name Chinchilla lanigera (long-tailed chinchilla). RNAcentral describes it as "lncRNA (ENSCLAG00000028042.1)". The record is from RNAcentral. Lineage: Eukaryota; Metazoa; Chordata; Mammalia; Rodentia; Chinchillidae.
UUGCUCCUGGGUUUGAUCCCCAGUACCUAACUUUUAAAAAGAGGUUUAUUUUGUCUGCAGGUGGAAAAGUGCAAGCCCAGGACUGCCCUGACAAGGACCCCUGUGCGUUAUCUCAAGGUUCGCUCCAACGUGAGACAAGAGGGCCGGGCUUCCAGACCCCGACAAGAGCAGACCCUGGCAUCUACAGAGCCUACAUGCUGUGGUUUGCAAACGGCUCACCCCACAACGUUGGUGAGGUCGUGGGCGUUAGGGUUUUUUUUCCCAGCAACUGAAAGGUAACUGGUACAGAAUGCCACCCACCAAGGUUGCCCUCAGAGUGACACUGAGACUGGUACUACCCCUCGAUCCUCCGGAAUGGCACGUUCAAUAAAUGUCUUUUUCCAUAACACUACUUGUCUGC